Long non-coding RNA from Callithrix jacchus (white-tufted-ear marmoset), 3356 nucleotides. The record is from Ensembl. Lineage: Eukaryota; Metazoa; Chordata; Mammalia; Primates; Cebidae.
CCAAGGUCUGGUCCAUGGGUGUGGGAUAUGAAAGUCUGGCCCCUUUGACUCAAUUUGAGGUAAUUCUGAAGAACCAUGCCAGUUUCAGAACUCCCCACAGGGUUGGCUGAGGCCCCUGUUGUCACUGCCUCUCAACUCAACUCCUCCCUUUGCCCAGUCCUGCUUCUCUUAUCUCUGAAAAUUUCUAAUCAUAAGGACACCUUCCCAUAUAAAAAAAAAAAAAAAAAAAACCCUGAGAAUCUGGCCUAAGAAAUACAUUGUUUUUAAAUUAACUGAUAAUUUUACAUAAUGCUUCUGAAAUAAUGUGGGAAAAUAUUGUUCUUUUAUCAGCUGCUACAUCAGAAUCACGCCUCACAAUAGGCAAAUGUUAAAAAUCCCUUGGAAGUGUGAAUUCCUUAGAGGUGUGGCUGAGAGCCUCAAAUGUCAUGGCUGAUUAUCACAAAUUGUGAUCACUAAUUGGCUGAGAUAUUAAAGGACAUUCAAGGACUGGGGAGAGCUUGGUGAGAUUCAAUGCCAUAUGUAGGAAGAACCGAAAGAAGACCUUGGACUAUUGGGCAACAGAGAAAGGAAAGGGAGGAACUUGAAGAAAAACGACCCUGGCAGGAAUUGAAGGAGGAAAGACUGGUAACUGAAUCGGAGGGCAAAAGACUAGUAACAAGAAGAGUGGGUGUGAGAUGGUGGUACAGAUUCAGGCACCAGACAAUGAAGACCCGAAUGAAGGCAGAGUCACUGCCUGCUAUGCUCACAGCAUUGAUUUAUUGACAUAUGGCUGAGAGGUGUUGCCAUUAAUGAAGCUUCGGCCUGCUGGAUGAUGCCAGCCUAAACUUUUCAGCAGGGUAAAACUUCUGGCUCUUGAAUCUGGGAUCAAGACCAACAGCUUCCACAUAGAAAAUGCUACUAACACAAAAGAGAAGCACUCUGCAAAAAUCAACCAUGAAGACUCAAGUUAAGUACAAAUAUUGCUGACAAGAGUUGUUUACAUUUUUGAUUAGUUUUCUUCCUGCUAUGCUGUUUGCAUAAUUCCAAGUAUGGCAGUUAAUUUCUAAUUAUGAAGGCUGCUCAUUGCUUUAUUUAGAAAAUAAAUAGUGCCCUUGGAUUCAUACAAUUAGGACAUAUCCUUUGUGUAUUUACCAUGUUAUUUAAUGCCCUAACAAGGCCCAGCCAUUUGGGCCACAUGAUCUGCCUAUUUUGACGUUGGUUUUCCUAUGAUUGGCUCUGGUUGCUGAGCCCCAUUUCUCAGGAAAAUCAUUUUCCUGACCCAGGUUUGCUGCUGGAAAAUACGAGAUCUCAUAAAGUAGGAUUGCAGACAUUCCUACUUGUUAAGUAAUUAAUGCAGAGUUAAUUCCUUCUAAGUUCAUCACAUCAAUUAGGAAACUGCCUUCUUUCUACCUUCUCAGGAUGCACAGAGGGGCUAUAAGCAUAGAAGCAGACAAAACUGAGUUUGAAUCCUGCCUCUCUCUAACACCUCAUUGCUUAAGUAAUUGUUUCACCUUGGUCAACUUAACCCCUCUAAGUCUCAGUUUCCUACUCUGAAAAAUGAGGAUGGUGACAGUAUCUACCUCAAAAGGUUAUUGUAAAGUGUCUGGGAGACAGUGUAUGUGUUCUUUCUUUUUCAGGGUUGGUCAGCCUCCCUUCCCAUUCAAGGCUAGAGUCAGCUUUAAGUUCCUUGCCUGGAAGAAGGGUAGGGAGAGGAACUGGGUUGAAAGCUAAAAUAGUCUACACAUUUCCCAGCUUCAGUUUACAAAAGCCUAAUCCCCUGGGACCUAGGAGAACAGAGAGCCCCUGAACUGCAGAACAAAAGUUUGAGGAAAAAAAUGAAGGAAGAAAGAUUUCAGAAUCCAGAUUGGAGCAAGAUUCCUCUAAGCAGAGGUGAGGGGAAAAGAGGAGAAGAGCAGGGACAGUUCUGAACUCUGGGCUCUGAACUCUAGUAGAUUGGGCUCUAGACUGCUUCCCAGGAAGGAAAGACCCUAGAGAUGGGCCAGGCCCUCUCCAGGGGACUUACAGAUUGAUUGUUAUAACCAAUUAUACUUGCUUGUCCUAAACUAUCCUGUCUAAAAUGUGUUACAUUCAUUCCUCCUUCCUAAACAAGGCAUCUUUUCUUCUUGACUUAUGCACAUUAGUCAUUAUGCACAUUCAAUACUGGGCAGCUCCAGUGAAUGAUACCUUACAGUUCUUUCAAAAUCCAUAGGGUUAUUUACUUCUGCAAUCUGUGGCCCCAGACUACAGUGCUAAACUAAUGUUUGAAACUUCUUUUCCAUUUUUUUUAUCCUGAUGGCUGGCAGCCUCUCGUCCAAUGUACUUUCCUACCUGGGAUCAAUCAGUAUGUCUCCCCACAGCAGUUCCUCUCCUUUUUCACUCUCAUUUGCUAUUGCAAACUUUGUGUAGCCUUAGAAAUGAAAUAAAAUUUUUUUAGGUUGGGUCCAGUGGCUCACGCCUAUAAUCCCAGCACUUUGGGAGGCCAAGGCAGAAGAAUCACUUGAACCCAGGAGGCAGAGGUUGCAGAGAGCCAAGAUCAUGCUGCUGCACUCCAGCCUGGCUGACAGAGCAAGACUCCAUUUCAAAAAAAAAAAGCAAAAAAAAAAUUUAGAAUUGAAAGGUAAGCAGAUUCUGAGUGAGAGAGCAAGGAAUGUUAUACUUUUGAAAUAUCUGUUUUGACUGUGCUAUGGGCUAAAUUGUGUCCUCCUAAAGUCCUCUUGAAAUCCUAACCCCCAAUGUGGCUGUAUUUGGAGAUAGGGCCUAUAAAGAGGGAAUAAAGGUUAAAUGAGGUCAUAAGGGUAGGGCCCUAAUCUGGUAAAAGCAGUGUUCUUAUAAGAGGAAGAGACACCAAAGAGCUCUCCCUCUCUCCAUGUACAUAGAGAAAUGGCCAUGUGAGGACACAGGGAAAAGUAUGGCCAUCUAUAAGCCAGGAGGGGAGACCUCAUCAGAAACUGACCCUGAGAGCACUUUGAUCUUGAACUUCCAGCCUCUGGAACUGUGAAAAAAUAAAUUUCUAUUGCUUAACCCACCCUGUCCUUGGUAUUCAGUUACUGUAGCAUGAACAGACACAGACCACAUAGCAAAGGGUGUUUUUGUUUUUAUCUGUUUUUUGAAGGGGGGUGGGUGUAUUAGUUCGUUUUCAUGCUGCUGUGAUAAAGACAUACCUGAGACUGGGUAAUUUACAAAGGAAAAGAGGUUUAAUGGACUCACAGUUCCACAUGGCUGGGGAGGUCUCACAAUCAUGGCAGAAAGCAAAAGGCACAUCUUACAUGGUGGCAGACAAGAGAGGAUGAGAACCAAGUGAAAAAGGAAACCCCUUAUAAAACCAUCAGAUCUCAUGAGACUUAUUCACUACCACAAGACCAUGAGAACAAUAUAGG